CGGGGUGAGUAAUGUCUGGGAAACUGCCUGAUGGAGGGGGGUAACUACUGGAAACGGUAGCUAAUACCGCAUAACGUCGCAAGACCAAAGAGGGGGACCUUCGGGCCUCUUGCCAUCGGAUGUGCCCAGAUGGGAUUAGCUAGUAGGUGGGGUAAUGGCUCACCUAGGCGACGAUCCCUAGCUGGUCUGAGAGGAUGACCAGCCACACUGGAACUGAGACACGGUCCAG
Molecule: ribosomal RNA, 229 nt
Filed under: uncultured bacterium
Lineage: Bacteria
Description: partial 16S ribosomal RNA
Rfam family: Bacterial small subunit ribosomal RNA
Source: RNAcentral